Molecule: ribosomal RNA, 253 nt
Filed under: uncultured bacterium
Lineage: Bacteria
Description: partial 16S ribosomal RNA
Rfam family: Bacterial small subunit ribosomal RNA
Source: RNAcentral
UACGAAGGGUGCAAGCGUUACUCGGAAUUACUGGGCGUAAAGCGUGCGUAGGUGGUGAGUUAAGUCUGUCGUGAAAGCCCCGGGCUCAACCUGGGAAUGGCGAUGGAUACUGGCUCGCUAGAGUGCGGAAGAGGCGAGUGGAAUUCCUGGUGUAGCGGUGAAAUGCGCAGAUAUCAGGAGGAACACCAAUUGCGAAGGCAGCUCGCUGGGACGUAACUGACGCUGAGACGCGAAAGCGUGGGGAGCAAACAGG